UACUUCGCUGAGAGAAGUAACACACAAACACCGUUCACGUCUCUUCGGGUGGGUGCGGCUGCCGAGUGCAAGCGAGCGCGGCUCGGACGUUUAUAUCUUCGCACCUUCGCACGCACGCACGCGUCAUAUACUCUUCACGAUUGCCAGAUCACCACCACACGCACGUCUACACGCCCACACCCGAAUAGAACACCUUCCCGUACUUCCAUUUCUUGGCAUGUAUCUGGCAUUCAUGUCGCGUGUUCUGCUCACACUCCCCGCCUGUCUGAGUUACUCAGUUCCGCCUUUCUUUUCUUUUUUAUUGCCUUGUGCUCCUCCCCCGCGAAGUGCCUCUGGUAGCUGUCCCUCUCCCGCCUUACUACUAUUCUCUAUCUCUAAGGUCUAUUGCCCAUAGCCAUCUUUUUUUUAUUGUUUUCCGCACUGUACGCGUUUCACUUUUUCACACACACGCGCGCGCGCACACAACCCCGUGGACCGUCUUUUCAGAGUGGGAUAGCGAUCGACAGGUAUUGUCGCAAGCCCUUGCAGGAGUGACUGCAUCGCUGUAGGGACAGAGAUCUGCAAGGGGCGCUCGCAACAACAAAAAGAGUCUGAUAUAUUGAAAACUUGACCCUCCCUCUUUCCUCCUUUUCCCCUUCCCCUCCCCCCAUACACCCAAACCCACUCAAAAGCUCGCUGCUUUUUUUUUGCCCAGUAUCUUACCAAUCGGUAUAGUACGCAUAGGAGAGGCGGCGCACGAGCGAAACAGCAACAACAAAAAAAAAUAUCAGGCUUGCCUUUUCUUAUUCGCGCAGACUCUCUGCUACGUGCACUUCACACCUUCUCACACCCUCACACCACGUGUGUGUUUGUGACGUACCUAAGAUUGACUUCUUCUCUCUCGUCAUUUACACAUUCGACUACCUAUCUGUUUUUCCAGCUGCUCGUUUCUUUCUCGUGUAUCUGCCCGCUUCCCUUCCACAUCACGUCGCCACCGUCGCCGCCUCCUCUCAUCACUGCGGCAUUUUCAUUGGCGUGCCGAACCGUCUUUCUCUCUCAUUUUUUUUUUGCACACUCACCUCUCCUUGCCCUCUGCGUGUCUGCGCUCCCGUCUUUGUUUUUCGCUUUCGGUUGUUUUGCCUUCACUGACCACUGUGGCUUGUCUAUCUGUGUGUCUCUUGCCUUUGUGCCCGCACCUCCUCUCUGUGUGCGGAUUCGCUUUUGCGUGUGCGCGUGUCUCGGCGAGGGGACAGUUCUGGUGGGUGAAGGCAUGCGCAUGUGCAUACGAAGCACAUUGGCACGUCCGCACACCGUCACCGCGACGCCUCCUUUCUCCUCACUUCCAAAGAGCAGAGGAUCCACGAAGCCGGCGAGGAGAAUAUAUAUACGCGUAUAUACCUCUAUAUGUAUCUAUACCGGAGCACACACAUACAUAUAUACGAAUAUACCUCUAUAUACACAUAUACCUAUCUACAUAUAUAUAUAUAUAUAUAUAUAUGUAUAGCGCAUAGCUAUUUGACGUGCUGAAAGCAGGAAGAGAAGUGACAUAAAAGAGGGAGAAGGGGGCGAAAAGAAGCGAAAACGGAGGCCACCGAAAAACGCAUCUUCUUUCUUCUUCCUCUGCGGUACUGAGCUGUGCGGUCCUUUCUCUCCCCCUCUCUUUUGCGCGUCUGUCUGUGCCUUGCCUGCUUCGCUUCUGCUCUCUCUUUCUCUCGGUCCCUCUUCUCUGUUUUCAGCUUCUCGUUCUUCUGUUUUUUUUUGACUCUUCACCAGACUUGUCGCCGCCGCGCCUCCUCCCCCUUCCCUGUCCUUCUGCCCAUCCAUCCACGUAUCCAUACAUUAUAUAUAUACAAGUACACACACACCCAUAUAUACAUAUAUAUAUAUGUGCACUGCGGUUUCGUCCGCUUUGUGGCGUCCUACUUCUCAUCGGGCUACUGCUCGAUGCGGUGAUACUCUCGCUUGGCUUGAAUUGCACACGUCCGGCUCAGCUUCUGCGUGCCUGUGAAAUUCGUUUUCUCUUUUCGUGUGUUUAUCCACCCUUCGUUCCACAAGGCGCUUGGUGCCGACCAUUUAUACACACACCAACACACACACAAACGGAAGUCGUUUCUGCCGCCCAUCUCCCUCCCUCUCUGCUACACACGAUACCAUAUUAUUACCUUGUACAUUUUAUGGCUGCCGCCUCUCCCCAUCAGCUUCACUGUUUCUCCUUUCUGGAACGCUUUUUGUAAAGUUAUCUUGGUAUCUACCUAUAUAUGGAUGUAUGGACAUGCAUGUGCAUGGUGUAAGGUUUAUUUUUUCUUGAUCCUCCUUUGGCUUGGUAUCACAGCCGUGCAUUUUGUCUGCAUUCGUGUUUCCGCGUGUUGCGCGUGUGUUCUCUUCCUUCACUGCACACAGCAACUCUCGAUCUUUUUUUUUUGCCGCCUCUCCGUGGCUCUCUCGCUGUUCGUCCUUGCAUUCACCCGACGGACGUCUUCGCCCCUUUCCGCGCACUUCUUGCACUGCCGGUGUAGAUUCCCUUUGUAUUUCCUUUGGCGAUGCUUAUUGGCUCCCCCUCCCCUGCUCUCUUUCCACCACUCUCUCACUCCUCCCUACGAAGGCCCCAUCUUUCUCGUUUUACUUUUUGCCCUUCUCCACAUUUCCCACUCGUUUUUUUUUGGGUUUUCGGUUCUUCCGGCUGAUCGGCUCUUCUCGUCCUCUUUCCUGUUUCUUCAAGAAUUGAACUGACUCUUGCCUGCGGGCCAAGUCGUGUUGCCUCUGCUGCCUUGUGAGCUCCACGCACACAUACGGACACAGACAGACCAGAGGGACAGACAGACGGGCAGACACAGACACGCUCACGCGAGUCCCUCUCUCUUUUCUCCUCUACGCGUCUUUGGGGGUGUGCGGGUGGGGACGCACGCUAUAUAUAUAUAUAUAUCACCUUUAGCCCCUAGCACGUUUUCGCUACUUCCCCCCACUUCUUUCUCUCUCCCCUCCUUUUGUGCUGUCGCGUCUCUGCCAAGGGUAAGGUUAUGCAUUUUGUGAGCAUUAUUAUUGACAAGAGUAUUCUUACUAUUUUGCUCGUUCUUGUGUGUGUGUAUACGCAUUCAACAAUUCAGAUGCUCGGCGUGGCGCCAUUGGUAGGACCGUCUGCCGGCACCGCCGACGUGCAACAACUUGCUGACAUACGCGCCACGGGUGAUUCUUGUCGAGAUGCUGUUGUGUCGGAGCGCACACGCGGUGAGCAGGCCUUCCCACGAGGGCAUACUCACGUUGGCGCUCGCGGUGAGUGCCAGGCGGCAUUGAAGUUCUCUGCCAUGACCUGCAGCAGAGACAACGACACUGCAAUCAAGAGGGCUCUAGCACACAAUACCACGGCAGAGCCGUUGACUAACGCUAGGACAGCAUCGUGGACGGCUCACAGCGCUGCACAGAGAGAGUCGGCUGAUGUGGAGGCACGUAUGAAGGCCAUAACGGCGGCCAUGACAUCUUCGCCACUGCCGUUGCUGACUCACGUGUUGACUAGCGUACCCUCUGCGAUCGCUUGCGUAUCUUCGGCUACUCCUGUCACCUCCGCAGCGUGCGCCAGCGUGGGCACCGACACCGCCGCCUCGCGUGUCCCUCGCACUUCACCCUCUUCACCUCCAGUGGCCAGCAGCGAUGACGCCACGCCGUGGUCCAUGACGCUUCACACCGACGCCGCGCGUGGGUCAGCGGCAGAAGCAUACUGGGUUCCCUACGACGUCUAUCUCGCUCUCUCGGCCCCGCUGCUGCGAGAGCGCGCCUUGCAAGACUUCGUUGCGACGCUGUGUUGUCCAAUGACACCGUCGGCGGAGGGCCAGCCGCAACUAGUCAAGAUUGACAGCGUCUUCUUUUUUCUUCUCCAUGGCAACGCAGUGGCGCCGCUGAUCGCCUCUGCUCCCGCGGUGGUGGCGCCGGUCUCGACGUUCCAGUCGCCCAUGCAAUCUUCGUCGUCGCUUCAUUGGAGCGAGCACGGCUCCCGCAACAGCAAAGCCGAACUCAUCGCCUUCCCUCUUUUCUGCGUCCUCGGCGCGAAGCUGUGCACCGUGUCGCGACGCACACGAUCCAUCUGCUCCAUCCACACUCCGGAGGCUCCCAUUGCAGCACGGCUCGCCACGCACCCGAAUCAGCGCGGCGGCUAUGGCAGCCACAGCCGCCACGGUAGUGACAGAGCUGACUUGACGUACCCUGCCGUCCAGCAAGAUCUCGCGGCCAAGCCCUGCAGCGGCACCGAGGCGUCGCUACCUCGGCACGACGGCGGCAGAGACCAUGUGCUUCUCCUCUUCGCCGAGCAGCUGAUCAGCGGCCUUCCUGGCUUUCCUGUCGCGCUUCUGUACACGACAAGCCCGACCGGUGCUGUCGUCUCGGCGCCACCGGCGGAGGCUUCAGCCUUCUGGGACAGCUGGCACAAGACCCCGCGUGCUGUGCGCCGAAGCGUUGCGUACGAGCAUAUAUGGAGCGUCGUGACACUGCCGAGGCUGGUGGCAAUGCUGCAGCGUUGGGGCGUGGCCCCGGCGGUGGCGAUGCGCCGGCUCUGCGUAGGGCUGCACUGCUCUUCUACCUCGCCGCUAGAGCCGCCAGGAAAGCCUCACCCGCUCCACGCCACGAUGAAUAUUGCACAUGGGCAAGGAGAGGAGGCGACGGCGGCGGCGGCGGCAGUGCCGGACACUGCGGGCGCUUUGCGUCGACCCCAGCUUCCUUUGGCAGAGCCCGACUCUUGCCUCGUGGAGAGUCCGCCUCCCAUACCGACGGCCGCGCCCGCGCAGCCGGCGAGGGCGAGCGUCGUGGGGCCGCCACAGCACAUCGUGGACAGCAGUAGUAGUGAUGGUGCUGCGUGGGAGUCCUUGUCGUCGGACGCCGGCGUUGUGCCGCACAGAGGCAUGAGCACGCCUGCGAUGCGAGGGGCCGAAGUAGCUGUGCGGGCGCCGGCGACGCCGCUGGAGCGCAGAGGGCGUGUGACAGCUGGCGAGUUUGGCACCUGUGGCGUCACCACACCUCGUUCGCAAGACGAGCUGCUCAGCAGCGGUGAAAAGGGCGACGCAGGUGACCCAGUGCACCCGUACAACGCUUUAGGCGCGCCAGGCUCCGUCAACACGGGACCAGAAGACAACCGCGGCCUUUACGGCCAGGCGCACCUGUAUUACACUUCUUCGUCGCCGCCACCACCGGCUGCCUCGUCAGUCAAGACGACUGCUGGUAGCGUCCUCUUUGUGCGGAGCGCCGUGUCGGGGAGGCCGCUGACGGAGAGCAGCACUCCCCUCUUCAACACCAGGCGCUUCCGAUAUCCGGAUGUGCUGCAUCCACCGUUGCGGUUGCGCCUGCAAACUUCUUCGUUCCUGGAGCGCGCCAACGGCCCCGUCCGUGUGACGAGGGGUGCGGCGAUGCUGCCCACGCCUCGCUGCUCAGGUGCACCGAAGCGCGUGACCGCUGUGCCAACCGACGCGCGCUACAGCGACAGUGGCGCGUUAGCGCAUCCCUACGAGGUGCCGGCGUCAGAUACAACGCGGCAGUCGGGGAACCGGCAUCGGCGAAGGCACAGUGGCACAGGUAGCCGCCUCAUCCAUCAAGACGAUCAUCGUCGAGGCACGAAUGUGCGCGACGCGCCAGCGGAGCUUGUUCAUGCCUCCGGUGAUGUCGAGCAGUUGGGAGACGCGCGGCAGGUCUCUGCCCGUCGAAGCUCAGUGGAUGGCUUGACCGAUCGCGGCAGAGUUUCCAGCCACGCAGCUGCGCCAGCGCUGACUCCGACGCCACCCACUCGCAAUGGGAGUGGCUGUUGCCUUGGUGCCCGGCAGCGCACGGAGCAUGUGAACAGGUACAUGCAGGUCCUCAUGAGCGCUGCGGCGCUCCGGCGCGCGAGCCCGUCGCCGACAGCGACUGAUGAUUUCCCGCAACAACAGCAGAACACAGCUCAUCGAUACAGCACCGGCGACCAUCUCGCCGCGGCAGCAGGGGCGACUCCGUUGUGCGUCGCCAGCAGCAGUAGCGGUACUGGCAGCAACACAAAGGGCAGCCUGAAUCGUAGUCGCGAGAGCGGAGACCGCGGCGAGGCCAUGCCGCGGCGUGCGCCAGUGCCGCCACCGCCGCUCCAGCAGCAUCAGCUGCACCUCCACCGAUCCCCUCACGCGAACAUCCUGCUUUGCCAUCAGAGCAGCAUGAGCACCCAGUCGAGCUUCACCUCAAGCUCCUUGACUGGUGGCGCUGUCUCCGUUGCACUCAGCGACCACGCGGCGAGCGUCACCGCAGAGCACGAAAACAAGCAACUGGGCGACGAUGGCAAUACCGAUAGAAGAGCCGGGGCUGUCGCGGCGCCGUCGACGUUCGCCGGGGAUUCUAAGAUUCCCUCUAUGACGACCUCGUCCGAAGGCUCGCUGGCUUCUGUGGCCGACGCCGCUGGCACGCUACCCACCGCGCAAGUCUCGCUGCACCCGGAAGCAGCGUCGUUGUGGAGCGUAAAGAAUGCAAGGACGCACAAUGCUGCCCGAAACGGCAUAGAGGACUCGCUGUCGAAGCGCCUCACGCGCUCCCCGCUACGAAGCAUCUUCACUGGGCUGCGGGCGUUGCUGCAGCUGGCCACUCCACCAUCGUCGAUGCAGGCGCGCGGCUUUCCUCAUCGCGACGCGAAGCCUGCGGGGCCACAGCUGUCGCCUUGUUCACCAGAGGACAGGGCUGUUCGGCCGUGUGUCCACGCGCCGCCAGAGCUGAGUAGCCCCCUGCUGACGUACUCUUCUCACCCCACGCUGUAUGCCGCGGCAGACGUUGCGGCAUCUCCACCCCCGUCCGAUGUUCUUUCGCCGCCGGGGCAGCACUCACUGACACUGCGCGCAUCAUGCGAGCGGUCCGCGUCCUGUUUGGUCACCGCUUCAUCGGAAGAGAACCUGUCGCCGCCGCUGAGGCACAACCGCGGCAGCGUCGUUAACCAUUUCGCCGUCGCAGGCGCGUCUGCGAGGCCAUGGGCGCUGCCGACGAGCGGCUUCUCUGCUAUUAACGGUUGCACCGCCAAAGUGCGGCCCCUCAGCGCGAACGAGAGCGACCACGGUGCGGAGUGUCGACUCGUCUCCGAGCCCGCGAUCUCGGUCGAUCUGCAGCUUCACGCGGCGGCCCGUGAACACGCAGCCAACGCACAGGCUGUCACCGCGCCGGGGGCUGUCAGGCACGAUGGCGCCACUGCAGUGGCCGCAUCCACUGCUGCUCCACCGGUGUCUCCGGGCUGCCAGCCCUGUGCGGCUUCUUUGCACUUGAGUCGUCGCUUGGCUGAUGCUCUUGUUGACUCCACCUUGCACGAAGGCGGCGGGUGGCCGUCUUUUCUGCCACUGUCCCUCUUGGGGCCCACUCUGGCCGUCGCGACGCAGUUUCCGGGUGACACAGGUGGCUUCAGGGCAGCCGUUCCAACACUCGCCAACUCCGAGUCUGGGCUCCUCUCGUGGUGGAUUGAAACCGCCGCGCUGUUGAUGAACCUGUUGGCGUGCGUAGUGCAGGCGGUCGGGCGCGGCUACGUAGCCCGCCGUGACCUUCGGAGGCUUUUUCGGCGGCCGUCAAGUAGCCCCACCGAGCGUGCGGCCGUAUCAAUGACGAUUGCCGCCGCAGCGCCGGCCGUGACGCGCUCGCCUCACCACACGCUAGUCACACGCGACCUAUCGUUGUCCUCGUCUCCCACUGCUUCGGCGAGUGCGUCGCCUGUCCCUCCCAUUGUUCACCAUCACGGGGUGGCCACGCUGGCGGCCACCGCAGCCUUCAGCGCCGACCAUUUUCCGGGGUCACAUAGGCCCAGUGCGUCGACGCAGAUGGCGUCGUCGAGCCGGGUUUUGGCGAUGCAGCCGCCGCAGGGCUGCCCACCGCCGCCGCAGACUGCGUUCUCGACUUCACUGACGUUCUCUAUCAACGCCACCGUAGCGGAGGCGUCCACGACUCCCAGCGAUGUCCACGUGUCGGCACGCGAUGUCUCGCUGGUUGCGACGACGACGCCCAAGUCUUCAUUGCAACGGCACAACGCCGCUUCGCAGACGUCGCCAAAGUCCAACAAGAUCCCUACUUUCUCGUCUUUCGCCACUGACGCCACGCACUCCUCUCCCAAAAACCUCUCCAGCUUCUCUGGAGUGAGACUGAAGCAGCCCACCCGCUCCUUGGACACGGCCUCGCAGAAAAAAGUGCCGGCGCCGCCUCUGCGGCACCUGUUUGCCAUGUGCGGCCUGCAGAGCAGUUCCACCAGCGAGGACUCCGGCACCUGGGCACCUGCGCCGAGCGUCGAGGCGGCCGCGUCGCCGGCCGCCUCGUCUGAUGAAGACGACGCUGCUGCUGCUGCGGCGAACGCGAGUGCAUGCCCGUCUAUUGAUGCAGCGACACUCUUGCUGGCCAUAUCCAAGUACACCAUCUCCACUACGCCUGAUGUUGUGCCACAGGGGCGGAGUAGCGACGCGAGCCGCGGCCACGAGCUACCGAGUCCGAGCACUCAUGGUGACAACAACGCAGGUGGCGAACCGAGCGGCGGCGCAGCUGCACCGGCAUGUCUUGUUGCCGGUGAGCCCCUGGGCUUGCUUGCCCAGCCGUCGUUGCUGCGUCUCGCCACGUCGCUGAAGCUGCAAAGCAGCACCGAGGACGCUGACACCACCGCCUUCCGCGAAUCCACGGCGGAGUGGAUGGGCAUGAUGCAGCGGCAACUUGCAGUCACCCCCAGCUGCACCGUUCCUUUCCUCGAUCAGGCUGUUGCGAAAGGGCCGCCGGCGAGCACCCUAGGGAGUAGUAACUCGCAGGGGCCAAUUUCGCCUGAUGGGGUGCGGAGCUCGUCGUGCCGUCUGUCCUCGUCGGCUGAUGAGUACGCUGCCCCCAUGGUCGCGGAGUCUCUGUUGCAGCUGCAGCGCAUUGGUCGCGGGUGUCUCAUCAGGCGGCGGUGCGAACUGAGUUACCGGGAGCGACAAGAAAAGGCCCUUGACCUUCUUCACAAGCGGGCGUGUCAACACACGCCGGUGCUGUCGACAUGUGCGACGUCGAUGGAAGAGGAUGGCAUAGCCGACGGGUUUGGAGGUGGCAGCACUGCUGGAGGGGCUGCGGCUGCGCUGAGCGGCAUCACGGGCCUGCGCUCGGCCUCCUCCUCGUACCAGACGAGCGAUCGGACACGUUUGACGGGUUCGCUGCCGCAGAGCACGCCGUCACUGCCUGGGGCCAGUCGGCCGCUCGUGACGCUGAUGGCAGGGCAACGGCGCCUUAGCCCAGUCAACGGCCGACAUUUCACAGACCUUGCGCACCCCGCCUCCCUGCUUUCGCAGGCAGAACCAAACCUCUCUGGGUCUGAGGGCGUUGUGGGCAUCGUUGGCGACAGUGCCCAGCUGGCAGACGAUCGCAGCACCGCUGUCACGUUUCGCGGCAAGACGAACACGAUGGCUGUGCCCUCCGACAGCGGAAAGUACAUUGCUUCGCCAGCCUUUGUGUCUUCCAAGCGGAGGCCCAGCGUGUUGUUCACCGAUGCGCCGCCGCACAUGCCCAGCUCGGGGUCACUGAGUGAGCCGAGAGGGGCAGCUGCUGGUGGCACUGAGGACGGGACUGCGGCAGCAAGUGGGAGUGUCCAGGAAGCGGGAGCGACUCAGGCGCAUCGUGGAAGCCUUCCCUCAUCUGCUCCCCCUCCUGCCGCCGUCAAGGCGGCUGACACUGACAGAGGCGAUGACGACGCUGCUGUGGAGUCUCCUCUUGUACCGUCGCCGACGGUUGUGCUUCCCAGCUCGUCUGCAGCCGUGCCAGUGGAAACCAACGACUCUGCGAGGAAAGCACAGCCUCCCACCGGCAGAGCACCUUCGCCGCCACGACCGUCGUUGCUGUCGCCACCGUCGCUGCGUGUGCCCUUCUCACGAGAUUCCUACUUGUCCUCAGCGAAUCCUGUUACAAUGAAGACGCCCGUUUCUGCUGCUGCGGCUGUUGUUCCAGUGACAAGCGCGGUCGGUACGUCGAUCUCUGCUACCAUGAGCGACAGCAGCUCCAGGCAAGCAUCGCGCAGCGAGGGGGCCUACUCGAUGCGGUCGCCAUAUCGCAGUCCGUCGUCACCGUUCACUGUACAGGGCUCACCGCAUACCGACAUGGUCGGUGCUGCGGUGGACAGCAACGAUGCCAGCUGUUGCCCUCUUCCGCGACGACGCUUUCUCAUCGCUGUGCCUAGGGCAGAGCUCUCUCCGAUGGAGGGCUCCAUCGUCGCCACAAGCGGCCGCAGUGCUCGUUCCCUCAACAGCAUAAACUCCCUCCCUUUCAAUUGCAGCACCACUGCGAACACCACGAGCGUCACCGCACAGAUCUUCAGCACUUCUCUGCCGGAGGGCAUGACCCCAGAGCUGUGGGUGCUGGACGGCGUCGAGGAGGCCGCCAUGUCCUCUUCAGUCUCGGAUGGCAGCGAUGACGACGACGCCGAUGACAACGAGGGCGACGCUUUCAAGGCAGAUCUCAUCCAUGUCGAGGGCGGCGCUGAGCCGGCGUGCUUCGUCGCUGCGGCACAGGUUCUAGGGCGCGAAGCGGCUCCGCCGUUAAUGUCGAAAGCGCUGCUGCUACUCCAGCGGAUCGGACGUGGCUACCUGUGCCGCCGGCACCAGCACUUCCUGUUCAUGGUGUCUAUCUCGUGGACGGAGAUUGCGCUGAUGCGGCGGGUGGCGCUCGGCUUUCUGGCGCGACGGCGCACGGGCUUAGACUUCUUCGUGCACCGUGAGGCAAACCGUCAAAUGGCGUACUGGGAGCUGCGCCAUCGAUCUGCCGUGCUGAUGCAGAGCGUCGUGCGCGGCUUCAAUGCACGCCAGCGGGUGAAGAGGCUGCAGAGGCGGGUGUGCACGCGCAUUGAGCUACGCACCGCCCUCGAGCAGCAAAACACAGAUGAGUGAGUGCCUUCAAACGAAAUGACAGCGAAAGGCGAAAGAGGGCGCGCUCCGGAGAAGCCCACGCUCCGUAUCGAGGAGGGCGUGAGCGAACACUGUGGCGAGCGCCAUCUCAACGCCCAUGACCAAGGGGCGCCUUGGUCCCCCCUCCCCCCAAGAGGGUGGCGCUGAUCGAGCGCGCAAGGAUGCGGGCCGACUUUGUGCGCUUCGCUAAUCUUUUUUUUUUGCUAUGUGUGUGUCUGUGCCAUCGUAUGCCCCUGACGAUGCCGGCCACCUCAGUGCGUGGCAUCAGGGGCCCGUGCCCCCACACCCUUUGCGGGGAAUCCGAAAGCCCGCAGCCUGGCCUCGGGCACGGCGGCGGACUCUCGAUGUCGGCGGGCAGGCGCGCACUGGCGGUGUGCCGGAGAGACUUGCGGUCGCGACGACGUUUGUCUCGGAUUGCUGUGAAUCGCGUCGACGAUUCAGCAAAAAAUAUGCGUCCACCUACCGCCUCUCUGCGUUAGCUUCGUUGCGGUGAUGCCGAGCGUCAUCCUGGUCCUGGCCUGCGCUGUAUGCAGUGACGUUGCAGUGGGCUGAGCGACACUCAGCGAUGUUGGUUGGCCUGGUUCCUGGACGUGACCGUGAUGCACCAGAGGCAGGCGAGCUGUGAUUGUGUAUGCGCCUACACUUGUUGACUUGUUUGUGGUAGAAUGACACGUUAACAGCGCCGCCUCAUUCCCCCUCCCCUACCCCCAAAACGAAUUUGCCGUCAGACUCUCGAGGGACGAAGCUCAUAAGCGCCCCCCGCCCCCCUGUGUGCUGCAGGUAGUGAAUGUGCCCGCUAACGUAGGCCGCCCGUGAUCUCUCGGCUCUGUUGUCGUUGCGUAGUGCGCAAGCAGUCACCAGCGCGUUUGUAUGAGCGUGCUGGAUGAGAUGCACACUAUCAAAACGUGGCGGAGCCAGUGGGAUGGCACAUGACCAUCGACGCACACGCGUGUGCCUCUUGUAGAUGUCUCGCGGUGCGCUGCUGCUGCUUUUCAUUUGUAGAGAAACAAG
Molecule: unclassified non-coding RNA, 11861 nt
Filed under: Leishmania donovani
Lineage: Eukaryota; Euglenozoa; Kinetoplastea; Trypanosomatida; Trypanosomatidae
Description: gene:LdHU3.30.1470(CDS-product:IQ_calmodulin-bind ing_motif_containing_protein_putative)
Source: RNAcentral